RNAcentral lists this ribosomal RNA (1870 nucleotides) under freshwater metagenome. Its description in RNAcentral is "bacterial LSU rRNA". It matches the Rfam family "Bacterial large subunit ribosomal RNA", at positions 1023 to 2925 of the family's 2925-position model. The record is from RNAcentral.
UAACCCAGAUUAGCAACUAAGGUCCCUAAUACGUAGUUAAGUUGAUCAAACGAGGUGGGAUUUCUAUAACAGCCAGGAUGUUGGCUUGGAAGCAGCCAUUCAUUUAAAGAGUGCGUAACAGCUCACUAGUCGAGCGGACGAGCAUGGAUAAUAAUCGGGCAUAAGCAUACUACCGAAGCUAUGGAUUUGUAGUAAUACAAGUGGUAGGGGAGCAUUCUAAACUGGGUCGAAGGUGUGAUGUGAGUCAUGCUGGACUGUUUAGAAAAGAAAAUGUAGGCAUAAGUAACGAUAAUGCGGGCGAGAAACCCGCACACCGAAAAACUAAGGUUUCCGCAGCUAUGCUAAUCAGCUGCGGGUUAGUCGGGUCCUAAGGCGAACCCGAAAGGGACAGUCGAUGGCCAACGGGUUAAUAUUCCCGUACUACUUAUAAUUGUGAUGGAGAGACGCAGUGGUGAAAGUACCGCGAACUGACGGAAUAGUUCGUUAAAGCACUUAGCUAUAGGCCCGGUAGGCAAAUCCGCUGGGACUGGUGAAAUGCGAUAGUACUCAGAGUCUUCGGACAACGAGAUAGUGUACCUAAAGGCUGCCAAGAAAAUCUUCUAAACUUAGAUUAUAAGUACCCGUACCGUAAACCGACACAGGUAGUUGAGGAGAGAAUCCUAAGGUGCUCGAGAGAUUCAUGGCUAAGGAAUUAGGCAAAAUAGACCUGUAACUUCGGGAGAAAGGUCGCCAGCAGCAAUGCUGGCCGCAGUGAAAAGAUCCAGGCGACUGUUUAUCAAAAACACAGGGCUCUGCAAAAUCGUAAGAUGAAGUAUAGGGCCUGACACCUGCCCGGUGCUUGAAGGUUAAGUGGAGAUGUUAUCUUCGGAGAAGCAUUGAAAUGAAGCCCAAGUAAACGGCGGCCGUAACUAUAACGGUCCUAAGGUAGCGAAAUUCCUUGUCGGGUAAGUUCCGACCUGCACGAAUGGUGUAACGAUCUGGAUACUGUCUCAGCCAUGAGCUCGGUGAAAUUGUAGUAGCGGUGAAGAUGCCGCUUACCCGCAGUGGGACGAAAAGACCCUGUGCACCUUUACUAUAGCUUAAUAUUGACCUUGGACACGUGAUGUGUAGGAUAGGUGGGAGACUGUGAAGCGGCGUCGCUAGGCGUUGUGGAGUCAUUGUUGAAAUACCACCCUUUGCUUGUCUGAGGCCUAACCCCGCGUUGCGGGGGACAUUGUUUGGUGGGUAGUUUGACUGGGGUGGUCGCCUCCAAAAGAGUAACGGAGGCUUCUAAAGGUUCCCUCAGCACGCUUGGUAACCGUGCGUAGAGUGCAAUGGCAUAAGGGAGCUUGACUGAGAGACAUACAGGUCGAUCAGGUACGAAAGUAGAGCAUAGUGAUCCGGUGGUUCCGCAUGGAAGGGCCAUCGCUCAAAGGAUAAAAGGUACGCCGGGGAUAACAGGCUGAUCUCCCCCAAGAGCUCAUAUCGACGGGGGGGUUUGGCACCUCGAUGUCGGCUCGUCACAUCCUGGGGCUGGAGAAGGUCCCAAGGGUUGGGCUGUUCGCCCAUUAAAGUGGCACGCGAGCUGGGUUCAGAACGUCGUGAGACAGUUCGGUCUCUAUCUACUGUGGGCGUUAGAAAUUUGAGUGGAUCUGAUUCUAGUACGAGAGGACCGAAUUGGACUGACCGCUGGUGUAUCUGUUGUUCCGCCAGGAGCACUGCAGAGUAGCUACGUCGGGAAGGGAUAAGCGCUGAAAGCAUAUAAGCGCGAAACCCACCACAAGAUGAGAUUUCUUUUAAGGGUCGUGGAAGAUGACCACGUUGAUAGGCUAUAGAUGUAAAGGCAGUAAUGUCAUAGUCGAGUAGUACUAAUAACCCGUAAGCUUAUGUA